AAUCAUCGAUCAUUGGAUGGUUCCCGAUAUGCCGGUGCAUGUCGGGAGUAAAUGGGAAUGUGACGGGAUGGACCCAAGCCGGGCAUCCUUAUCGCAGCCGACCCCGCGACUGUAGAACGGUCAGGGUUCGCCAUCCGGGAAAACCAGACUUCCGGACAGACCGCAUCGGGCGGGCGCGGGAGGAACGGUCCAACCGGAAAAGCCACUGGAGUGUCAUUGCGAUUAGCCGGGGCCGGACGCCUCUAUUAUCUACGAAUCGUCCACCUCUUCGCAAGAAAAUCGACUCCGGGAAGGCGAGGCGAACCCGUUCGUGCCUUGGGCACGUGACGCCGUGAGCCAGGAGACCUGCCAGCCUCAGGGCAUCGUG
RNAcentral lists this non-coding RNA (367 nucleotides) under Rhizobium sp. Lineage: Bacteria; Pseudomonadati; Pseudomonadota; Alphaproteobacteria; Hyphomicrobiales; Rhizobiaceae. The record is from RNAcentral.